This is a long non-coding RNA of Helianthus annuus (common sunflower), 376 nucleotides long. RefSeq lists it as uncharacterized. The transcript is spliced from 3 exons. The record is from RefSeq and is a predicted model, not a curated record. Lineage: Eukaryota; Viridiplantae; Streptophyta; Magnoliopsida; Asterales; Asteraceae.
ACAAAAACUCUAAAUUGAAGGCUCAAAUCACGUUGUAAUCAAAAUCUGAACAUAGAAUUGUGAUCUCCUCGUCAAGAAGGUCAUAAGGCAAGGAAUCCGGGACGUCGAGUGGACACGCCGGAGGUGAUACCCGCGGAAAAGGUGCGCUUUGAAGGUACAAAUAAAUCUCUCUCGGAUGAUGAUCAAGCACCUUGUCAAGAACCGAACACGCAAACUGAAGCUUCCGCAUGAAUAUAAUUUUGUCUAAACUUUAAACAUGUCAUAAAUACUUUUGGUUGAUGGUGUUUUGAAUCCUUUAGCUAGUUGUUAGCUGAUUAGUAGGGAUGGCUCUUAAAUGAAUUUUGUACCAUCUUAAACAUGUUUGGGAAAUUACACU